UGUUUUGUUUUUAUACCUUUGGGAUCGCACGACUGCAUGCUUGCAAGGCAGGCGUUUAUGCGCCGCUGAGCUAAAUCCCUGGCCUACAGAGUUAAGAUUUAUAGAGCAAAAUGGUGAAAUGAGUAUGGUUUGAAACACAACUAUAAUCAACCAAUAAGGAUUUAUUUAUUUACUUUUGUCUUUUUCAUUUUUAUCGGUACCAGGGAUUGAACUCAGGACUGCCUGCUUGCAAGGCAGGCGCUUAUGCCGUUGAGCUAAAUCCCCAGCCCCAACCAAUAAGGAUUACAAAUUUCGCCGCUUAGGUAGAACAGGUCCAGUGAGAAGUUGAUUCAAGUAGCAGGUGUACGUGGAAAGAACAGCGACCUUGAGGCUGGGGGUUUAGCUCAGCGGCAUAAGUGCCCGCCUUGCAAGGAGGCAGUCGUGAGUUUGAUCCCCAGUACAAAUAAAAAGGAAAGAUAUUUAAAAAAAAAAUCACCUUUCUAGGAUGGAAUGAAUCGGGUUCCAGCUACCCACCUGGGCAACUGAUGUUAGUGUUACUCUAUUAUUUAUCUCUUGGAGAGGCACAUAAGGCUGGUCAUUUUGUUUUAGGCUUGUCCUCUAACAGAUGCACCUCCAGCCACGGUUGUAAUGUGUUUUUAUUCUCUGUAUUGAUGCUCUCAAGGGCCCAUCUACCUCAGUCUGACUGCCUAUAAUAUUUCUGCCUAACUUAACGGUCUAUAAUAUUUCCCCUCCUAAGAGGUAUGCCUGCCAUGAGGGGGCGAGGGCCAAUGAACACUUUUUUUUUUUUUUUUUUUGUCUUUUUGACAUAAGGUCUCACUAUGCAGUUCAGACUGGCCUUGAGCUCACUUUAUAGCCCAGGCUGGUCUUGAGCUCACAAUGAUCAGCCUGUCUCAGGCUCUUAAGGGCAGGGAUUACAGGCAUGCACCACCACGCCCAGAUUCUUGAUGAACAUUUUGACUGAAGGGAGCUGUAGUUAUAAUUAACAGUCAGAGAUAUUCCAUAAAAGGUUAUCUGAAUGUUCUCAAUAGAAAGCCAAGGAUUUAGCUCAGCAGUUCAACUCCUGCCUGGCAAGCAUGGGGUCCUGAGUUUGAUUCUCAGUAUCUAAAACAAGUAAAUAAAUGUUCUCAAUAGGUGCCAGGCAUUUUUGUUUUAGAGAGGUAUAUAGCUUUAGGUCUGCAAGAGACAAGGGCAAAGAAAUAGUUAAGUAUGCAUGGGACAAAUAAUAAGAUCAGCUGGGUGUGGGCACUCAGGAGGCUGAGACAGAAAGAUCUCCACAAAUUCAAGGCCAGUUUAGCAACACAGGGAGACCUUGGUGAUAAUGGAUUAUUUCCAAAGGAUGAAAAUUACUUCCAAAAGAUGAGAAGUAUAAAACAAAGAGCGGCCUUUAUUCUGAGAACAUGGAGAGAGAUGACCAGCACCCCCCACCGCUGGCGUCCGGCGAUCUCUCCAACGGACAUGUGGUGUGGGAGUAUCAUUUGGUGCUGUGACUCGGAUUGGCAGGCGAUUGACUCCUGGGACACACCCAGUUGAGUCGCCUAGCCGAUAACCAGAUAACAUCCUGGAUUAAUUCUGAGCUUUUUCCUGUCCUGAGAAGUCCUUGUUGCCAGCAGCCUGCACUCAGCAUCGGCCAGGUUGAUUUCAGGGUGAUUGGCAGCGACUCUGGAGCCGCUCUACAGAUGAUUGGUCACACACGCCCACCGGACCGAUGGCUGCCCAAUGGCCCUCUGCUCUGGAAUCUUCUCCUCAGGAUGUUUAUGGGAUUCCAAAUACCACUGUCAGCUCACAAGAGCGAAAUCAGCUGUGGCAGGCAGCUCGAAAAGAAACUGAUCACAGACAUAAGUGUAACAUAUGUGCAUUCACCAGUGAAGUUGUCCUGGCCAAAACACCUGGCACCAGCGUCCACCUGGGCAUCAACCUUCAUCCCUUCGACUCCCCUAGGCUCCAGUUCAGCGCCCUCUGCCAGCAGGAAUUAGAUAAAGAGAGAAAUCUUUGCCCCUUGUCAUAAUAGUAAUCAUAAAACAGGAUAUGAAAGGGUUUUGGCCCAGACAGGACACUGUAGCCAGGAAAGCCUCAACUGGAAGCAGGAAGCCCCUAUCUCCCCCGCCCCUAGUAAUUUACCUUUGACACCAUCUUCCCGCCCCUGGAAUUUACCUAUGGCACGAAACGUAGGACCAAUGGGCUACCUGUACAUCCCUAAUGCCCGCCUUAGGUUCCACCCCAAACCGAGACUAUUUACAUACCCCCAUGCCACAUGUCCGCCGGAGAGAUCGCUGGUCGCCAGUGGUGGGGGGUGCCAGUCAUCUCUGUCUGUGUUCUCAGAAUAAAGGCCGCUUUUUAAUUUA
Molecule: RNA transcript, 2342 nt
Organism: Cavia porcellus (domestic guinea pig)
Lineage: Eukaryota; Metazoa; Chordata; Mammalia; Rodentia; Caviidae
Exons: 5
Source: RefSeq, a predicted model, not a curated record